Long non-coding RNA from Rhagoletis pomonella (apple maggot), 411 nucleotides. RefSeq lists it as uncharacterized. The record is from RefSeq and is a predicted model, not a curated record. The transcript has 2 exons. Lineage: Eukaryota; Metazoa; Arthropoda; Insecta; Diptera; Tephritidae.
CAAUUUUACGAUCUAUUUUCAUUUUUGCUCUCGCUGCAAUUUUUCACUGGAAAAGUUACUAACCUAACUAUUAUUUAACCGUAUUCCUUGGACUAGAACUAAUAAAACUCAAAAAAUAAAAAUUCGGUCAGAGCGAUAGAGUAACACUGCAAAGUACUGUAAAAAAUAAAAAUUCGCUCAGAGCGAGAGAGAGGAUCGCUUUCAUAGUGGAAUUUUCGGCGAAAUGGCAACGUUGCGAACAAAGUUGUAUGAACGACUUAUCGCAACUCCGGAUUGCAAAUGUAAAAUUUUUUAAAAAUGCCGCACCUUUAAAAACCGACAAAAAAUGACAUUUGAUGAUGCACGUGGAAAACCCGAUCAGGAAUUCGACUUAUCAAGAGACCCGCGAGGAGAUAUUGAGUAUUCACCAAA